GGUGGGGUAACGGCUCACCUAGGCGACGAUCCCAAGCUGGUCUGAGAGGAUGACCAGACACACUGGAACUGAGACACGGUCCAGACUCCUACGGGAGGCAGCAGUGGGGAAUAUUGCACAAUGGGCGCAAGCCUGAUGCAGCCAUGCCGCGUGUAUGAAGAAGGCCUUCGGGUUGUAAAGUACUUUCAGCGGGGAGGAAGGGAGUAAAGUUAAUACCUUUGCUCAUUGACGUUACCCGCAGAAGAAGCACCGGCUAACUCCGUGCCAGCAGCCGCGGUAAUACGGAGGGUGCAAGCGUUAAUCGGAAUUACUGGGCGUAAAGCGCACGCAGGCGGUUUG
RNAcentral lists this ribosomal RNA (339 nucleotides) under Escherichia coli. RNAcentral's name for it is "bacterial SSU rRNA". It matches the Rfam family "Bacterial small subunit ribosomal RNA", at positions 251 to 582 of the family's 1533-position model. Lineage: Bacteria; Pseudomonadati; Pseudomonadota; Gammaproteobacteria; Enterobacterales; Enterobacteriaceae. The record is from RNAcentral.